This 629-nucleotide ribosomal RNA is filed under the name uncultured bacterium. RNAcentral describes it as "bacterial SSU rRNA". It matches the Rfam family "Bacterial small subunit ribosomal RNA", at positions 554 to 1180 of the family's 1533-position model. The record is from RNAcentral.
CUGGGCGUAAGAGCGCGUAGGCGGCUUGUUAAGUGUGGUGUGAAAUCUCCAGGGCUCAACCCGGAAACUGCACCGCAUACUGGCUAGCUGGAGUGAUGCAGAGGUUUGUGGAAUUCCUGGUGUAACGGUGAAAUGUGUUGAUAUCAGGAGGAACACCCAUGGCGAAGGCAGCAAACUGGGCAUCAACUGACGCUGAGGCGCGAAAGCGUGGGUAGCAAACAGGAUUAGAUACCCUGGUAGUCCACGCCCUAAACGAUGGAUACUAGGCGUAAGAGGUAUCGACCCCUCUUGUGCCGCAGCUAACGCAUUAAGUAUCCCGCCUGGGGAGUACGGCCGCAAGGUUGAAACUCAAAUGAAUUGACGGGGACCCGCACAAGCGGUGGAGCAUGUGGAUUAAUUCGAUACUAACCGAAGAACCUUACCCAGGUUUGACAUCGAUCGUAAGACCUAGAGAUAGGUCCCUCUCCCACAAGGAGACGUGAAGACACUUGUUGCAUGGCUGUCGUCAGCUCGUGCCGUGAGGUGUACGGUUAAGUCCGCCAACGAGCGCAACCCUCGUCCUGUGUUACCAGCAUGAAAGAUGGGGACUCACAGGAGACCGCCGGUGUAAGCCGGAGGAAGGUGGGGAU